UCCUCAGUUAAAAUUCUGUUGCUCUGAUGUGAUUCUAACUCAACCAUCUGAUUGAGAAGGCUGUUCUUUUGCAAUUUCAGAUUACCUUCUUCAUAUCUGCUCCAUUCUUUCAAUUUCCCUUUGAGGGCUUUGAGUUUGCAUGCUAAGAUGUAAUCUGGCCUCCCAUAGAACUCAAAAUCAUUCCACCAGACCUUGAUUCUUUCAACAAAUCCUUCUUGGUUCAGCCACCAAUUUUCGAACUUAAAAUAGGAUUUAGAUUGUUCCCAAUGUCCACACAACAAGGCUAUAGGAACAUGAUCAGAAGUCACUCUUUGCAUAGUGGUUUGCUUUAUGUUGGUGAAAAGAUUAUUCCAUUCUGUGGAGACCAUAAUCCUGUCUAUCCUGGAUGCUGUGAUAUGGUUAUCACCCUUGUACCAGGUAUACCUUCCACCACUUAAUUGCAGAUCAAUGAGGUCCAUGUCUUCAAUGCAUUCUGAAAACUCUCUCAUUGCUGGGUUUAACCUGUUGCACUCCCUUUUUUUAGAAGGAAAUCUACAGACAUUAAAGUCACCACAAACAGCCCAUGGACCAUCCAUCAAGCCUCUUACAUCAACCAGUUCUUCCCAUACAAACCUCCUCUCCACUCUACUAUUCGGAGCAUACACUCCGGUUAUAUGACAUUCAAAAUUGCUUGUCUGAGCUUUGAAUUUACAAGAGAGAGUAUAGGCUCCAACUUUAAUUUCCCCUUCCCACAUUCUGGAAUCCCAUAACAUCAGGAUUCCUCCUCUGGUUCCACUGGCCUCUAAACAAGCAUAUUUAAUCCAUCUCCCUGCCCAAAUUUGUUUAACUAAGUCCUGUACAUCGCCUUCUAAUUUAGUUUCCUGGAGGCAGACAAUGUCUGCUUUCCAAUCCUGCAACAGG
This 900-nucleotide long non-coding RNA is filed under the name Solanum tuberosum (potato). Its description in RNAcentral is "long non-coding RNA (STUB_LNC006099)". The record is from RNAcentral. Lineage: Eukaryota; Viridiplantae; Streptophyta; Magnoliopsida; Solanales; Solanaceae.